UACGUAGGGGGCAAGCGUUAUCCGGAUUUACUGGGUGUAAAGGGAGCGUAGACGGCACUGCAAGUCCGGAGUGAAAGCCCAUGGCUCAACCGUGGGACUGCUCUGGAAACUGUGGAGCUUGAGUGCGGGAGGGGCAGGCGGAAUUCCUGGUGUAGCGGUGAAAUGCGUAGAUAUCAGGAGGAACACCGGCGGCGAAGGCGGCCUGCUGGACCGUAACUGACGUUGAGGCUCGAAAGCGUGGGGAGCAAACA
RNAcentral lists this ribosomal RNA (251 nucleotides) under uncultured bacterium. RNAcentral describes it as "partial 16S ribosomal RNA". It matches the Rfam family "Bacterial small subunit ribosomal RNA", at positions 524 to 774 of the family's 1533-position model. The record is from RNAcentral.